This 600-nucleotide ribosomal RNA is filed under the name Serratia sp. VF37(2010). RNAcentral describes it as "bacterial SSU rRNA". It matches the Rfam family "Bacterial small subunit ribosomal RNA", at positions 48 to 639 of the family's 1533-position model. The record is from RNAcentral. Lineage: Bacteria; Pseudomonadati; Pseudomonadota; Gammaproteobacteria; Enterobacterales; Yersiniaceae.
CCUAUACAUGCAAGUCGAGCGGUAGCACAGGGAGCUUGCUCCUGGGUGACGAGCGGCGGACGGGUGAGUAAUGUCUGGGAAACUGCCUGAUGGAGGGGGAUAACUACUGGAAACGGUAGCUAAUACCGCAUAACGUCUACGGACCAAAGUGGGGGACCUUCGGGCCUCAUGCCAUCAGAUGUGCCCAGAUGGGAUUAGCUAGUAGGUGGGGUAAUGGCUCACCUAGGCGACGAUCCCUAGCUGGUCUGAGAGGAUGACCAGCCACACUGGAACUGAGACACGGUCCAGACUCCUACGGGAGGCAGCAGUGGGGAAUAUUGCACAAUGGGCGCAAGCCUGAUGCAGCCAUGCCGCGUGUGUGAAGAAGGCCUUCGGGUUGUAAAGCACUUUCAGCGAGGAGGAAGGGUUCAGUGUUAAUAGCACUGUUCAUUGACGUUACUCGCAGAAGAAGCACCGGCUAACUCCGUGCCAGCAGCCGCGGUAAUACGGAGGGUGCAAGCGUUAAUCGGAAUUACUGGGCGUAAAGCGCACGCAGGCGGUUUGUUAAGUCAGAUGUGAAAUCCCCGCGCUUAACGUGGGAACUGCAUUUGAAACUGGCAA